Molecule: transfer-messenger RNA, 368 nt
Filed under: Chloroflexota (GNS bacteria)
Lineage: Bacteria; Bacillati
Also listed under: 1 other name
Description: p Chloroflexota X3 Standard tmRNA
Rfam family: transfer-messenger RNA
About the family: Bacterial tmRNA, also known as 10Sa RNA or SsrA, is named for its dual tRNA and mRNA-like properties. Its role is to liberate the mRNA from a stalled ribosome.
Source: RNAcentral
GGGGAUGUCGGGUUUCGACAGGGCCGGUUGGUCGGAAGUGGCAAGCCGAGGUGCCGGUAACCGUCUCGUAAAACAACCGGCGAAUAAAUAACUGCCAAGCCGCAGUACAGCUACGCUCUGGCGGCCUAAGUAAGCCGCACAGCGUCGUCCGCCACUCCCUCGCUCCGGUGGGGGGUGACCGGGCGUGAUAAUGCCGGAGUGCGCCGGGUCCGAGGCUCAUAGGAUCCGGCAAAGCCCAAUGAGCUGGCGCAUCCUGCGCACCUGCCGAUCGGUGCCGGAUGCGCGAGAGCCAAAGAUCGGCUAAGCUUGUAGGCACUUUCGACGGAUCGGCUCUGGACGGGGAGUUCGACUCUCCCCCAUCUCCACCA